This 466-nucleotide ribosomal RNA is filed under the name uncultured bacterium. RNAcentral describes it as "partial 16S ribosomal RNA". It matches the Rfam family "Bacterial small subunit ribosomal RNA", at positions 28 to 507 of the family's 1533-position model. The record is from RNAcentral.
GACGAACGCUGGCGGUGUGCUUAACACAUGCAAGUCGAACGGUAAGGCCCUUUCGGGGGUACACGAGUGGCGAACGGGUGAGUAACACGUGAGUAACCUGCCCUCAUCUCUGGGAUAACAGUCGGAAACGGUUGCUAAUACUGGAUAUGAGCUUGCAAGGCAUCUUGUGGGUUGGAAAGAUUUUUUUGGUUGGGGAUGGACUCGCGGCCUAUCAGCUUGUUGGUGAGGUAGUGGCUCACCAAGGCUUCGACGGGUAGCCGGCCUGAGAGGGCGAACGGCCACAUUGGGACUGAGAUACGGCCCAAACUCCUACGGGAGGCAGCAGUGGGGAAUAUUGCACCAUGGACGGAAGUCUGAUGCAGCAACGCCGCGUGCGGGAUGACGGCCUUCGGGUUGUAAACCGCUUUCAAUUGUGACGAAGCUUUUUGUGACGGUAGCAGUAGAAGAAGCACCGGCUAACUACGUG